RNAcentral lists this ribosomal RNA (1495 nucleotides) under Pseudomonas aeruginosa. RNAcentral describes it as "bacterial LSU rRNA". It matches the Rfam family "Bacterial large subunit ribosomal RNA", at positions 1218 to 2697 of the family's 2925-position model. Lineage: Bacteria; Pseudomonadati; Pseudomonadota; Gammaproteobacteria; Pseudomonadales; Pseudomonadaceae. The record is from RNAcentral.
AAGUGACGCGGUAGAGGAGCGUUCUGUAAGCCUGUGAAGGUGAGUUGAGAAGCUUGCUGGAGGUAUCAGAAGUGCGAAUGCUGACAUGAGUAACGACAAUGGGUGUGAAAAACAUCCACGCCGAAAGACCAAGGGUUCCUGCGCAACGUUAAUCGACGCAGGGUUAGUCGGUUCCUAAGGCGAGGCUGAAAAGCGUAGUCGAUGGGAAACAGGUUAAUAUUCCUGUACUUCUGGUUACUGCGAUGGAGGGACGGAGAAGGCUAGGCCAGCUUGGCGUUGGUUGUCCAAGUUUAAGGUGGUAGGCUGAAAUCUUAGGUAAAUCCGGGGUUUCAAGGCCGAGAGCUGAUGACGAGUCGUCUUUUAGAUGACGAAGUGGUUGAUGCCAUGCUUCCAAGAAAAGCUUCUAAGCUUCAGGUAACCAGGAACCGUACCCCAAACCGACACAGGUGGUCGGGUAGAGAAUACCAAGGCGCUUGAGAGAACUCGGGUGAAGGAACUAGGCAAAAUGGCACCGUAACUUCGGGAGAAGGUGCGCCGGCUAGGGUGAAGGAUUUACUCCGUAAGCUCUGGCUGGUCGAAGAUACCAGGCCGCUGCGACUGUUUAUUAAAAACACAGCACUCUGCAAACACGAAAGUGGACGUAUAGGGUGUGACGCCUGCCCGGUGCCGGAAGGUUAAUUGAUGGGGUUAGCGCAAGCGAAGCUCUUGAUCGAAGCCCCGGUAAACGGCGGCCGUAACUAUAACGGUCCUAAGGUAGCGAAAUUCCUUGUCGGGUAAGUUCCGACCUGCACGAAUGGCGUAACGAUGGCGGCGCUGUCUCCACCCGAGACUCAGUGAAAUUGAAAUCGCUGUGAAGAUGCAGUGUAUCCGCGGCUAGACGGAAAGACCCCGUGAACCUUUACUGUAGCUUUGCACUGGACUUUGAGCCUGCUUGUGUAGGAUAGGUGGGAGGCUUUGAAGCGUGGACGCCAGUUCGCGUGGAGCCAUCCUUGAAAUACCACCCUGGCAUGCUUGAGGUUCUAACUCUGGUCCGUAAUCCGGAUCGAGGACAGUGUAUGGUGGGCAGUUUGACUGGGGCGGUCUCCUCCUAAAGAGUAACGGAGGAGUACGAAGGUGCGCUCAGACCGGUCGGAAAUCGGUCGCAGAGUAUAAAGGCAAAAGCGCGCUUGACUGCGAGACAGACACGUCGAGCAGGUACGAAAGUAGGUCUUAGUGAUCCGGUGGUUCUGUAUGGAAGGGCCAUCGCUCAACGGAUAAAAGGUACUCCGGGGAUAACAGGCUGAUACCGCCCAAGAGUUCAUAUCGACGGCGGUGUUUGGCACCUCGAUGUCGGCUCAUCACAUCCUGGGGCUGAAGCCGGUCCCAAGGGUAUGGCUGUUCGCCAUUUAAAGUGGUACGCGAGCUGGGUUUAGAACGUCGUGAGACAGUUCGGUCCCUAUCUGCCGUGGACGUUUGAGAUUUGAGAGGGGCUGCUCCUAGUACGAGAGGACCGGAG